RNAcentral lists this long non-coding RNA (1030 nucleotides) under Homo sapiens (human). Its description in RNAcentral is "HSALNT0126742". The record is from RNAcentral. Lineage: Eukaryota; Metazoa; Chordata; Mammalia; Primates; Hominidae.
GCCAGGCCCCGCCGCCACCCUCCGCGCUGGGACGCCGGGGCGCGGGCAUCCCUGCCGCCUACGGAUCUCUUCCCAAGCACCUAGAACUUUCCAAAGCGUGCUUGGAAUUUAACACCUUGGUCGUCGAUCCCCGCAAAUAUACUCUGAUGAGACCGGCUUUCUUCCCAUACCGCCCAGGAGUUUCUCCAGGUGGCAUUCCUGUCGCCUUGAGGUGGAACAUCAGUAGAGGCUCGAGGCUGAAGCAAGCACAAUACACAAGAGACUCCGAUUCGUACAGGAACAUUUCGAAAACAGGAAAUCCUGAGGACAAUAAUGAACAUUUGAACCUAUCUACCGAGAAGAUUCACCUCUCCUUGCCAACCACUUGGAGCCAUCAGUCCGAACCCGUCGAGACAUAAGCAUUCCAGUUCUACAGGAACUAGAUCAUUAGAGAAAAAGCAAGUCAUCUCUCUGUGAGGGAACAGUCAACCCGGCCAGGUGUAUCGUUUUCCAAAUCUUUGAGUAAACCGAAUGCUGCUCUAGGAAGAUUGCACUCCAUUGUAUUUAUCCUGCAGCUUUGUGUAACCUGUCAGCCCUGCACACCCAGCUGGUAUUUGUAUCUGGAUGAGAAGCGCAGCCUUUGGGAAGGCAGAACACUGGGGCAGAACUGGUGCCAACACCAGUCUUGGAUUGGGGUCUGUCAUUCAGGGCCUGUGAUUGAGUUUGGUACAUGCUAUGGUAUUAAGUCAAAGGAAAUCUGAGAUCUCUGAAUCAUUUACAGACACACUCCAAUUUCCUCCUGGAACAUGCAGUUGCCAUUUGGGGGCAUGGGUUGGUGAGAGGAGGGAGAAAAGGAGGGAAGAUGGGAGAGGGCACCAGGGCUGCAUGUAAAGCUCUGCCUCACACUGUCAGUUGUUUUCAGCUCACUGCAUGAACUCUGUAGAGAGGCCAGAUAAUUUCACAAAGUUUACCUUAAUUUGCAACCUACCUAGAGGAGACAUGGUCAGGCAGCUGGAUGGUGAUUCUUUUCCAGCUUGAGCUGUUGACAGAG